Molecule: non-coding RNA, 101 nt
Filed under: Cyclobacterium lianum
Lineage: Bacteria; Pseudomonadati; Bacteroidota; Cytophagia; Cytophagales; Cyclobacteriaceae
Description: SAM-I sequence
Rfam family: SAM riboswitch aptamer (S box leader)
About the family: The SAM riboswitch is found upstream of a number of genes which code for proteins involved in methionine or cysteine biosynthesis in Gram-positive bacteria.
Source: Rfam by way of RNAcentral
GAUUUAUGAAGAAGAGGUGAGAGAACAGGCUCUGUGAACCUCUGGCAACCUUCCACUUAAGGGAAAGGUGCCAAUACCUGCCCGAAUGGGACCGAUAAAUU